Molecule: ribosomal RNA, 437 nt
Filed under: uncultured bacterium
Lineage: Bacteria
Description: bacterial SSU rRNA
Rfam family: Bacterial small subunit ribosomal RNA
Source: RNAcentral
CAGGCCUAUCACAUGCAAGUCGAACGGGCACCUUCGGGUGUCAGUGGCAGACGGGUGAGUAACACGUGGGAACGUGCCCUUCGGUUCGGAAUAACUCAGGGAAACUUGAGCUAAUGCCGGAUACGCCCUUACGGGGAAAGGUUUACUGCCGAAGGAUCGGCCCGCGUCUGAUUAGCUAGUUGGUGGGGUAAUGGCCUACCAAGGCGACGAUCAGUAGCUGGUCUGAGAGGAUGAUCAGCCACACUGGGACUGAGACACGGCCCAGACUCCUACGGGAGGCAGCAGUGGGGAAUAUUGGACAAUGGGCGAAAGCCUGAUCCAGCCAUGCCGCGUGAGUGAUGAAGGCCUUAGGGUUGUAAAGCUCUUUCGACGGGGACGAUAAUGACGGUACCCGUAGAAGAAGCCCCGGCUAACUUCGUGCCAGCAGCCGCGGUAAU